GGGUAUGACCCCCCCCAAAAAAAAACCCAAAAUAUUCAGAGAAGAUUAGCAUGACAUCUGUGCAAAAAUAAUAUGCAUAUUCGUGAAGCUUUUCCAAAUUUU
Suncus etruscus (white-toothed pygmy shrew) is the source of this 102-nucleotide small nuclear RNA. The record is from RefSeq and is a predicted model, not a curated record. Lineage: Eukaryota; Metazoa; Chordata; Mammalia; Eulipotyphla; Soricidae.